AUUGAACGCUGGCGGCAUGCCUUACACAUGCAAGUCGAACGGUAACGGGCCUUCGGGUGCCGACGAGUGUCGAACGGGUGAGUAAUACAUCGGAACGUGCCCGAUCGUGGGGGAUAACGAGGCGAAAGCUUUGCUAAUACCGCAUACGAUCUACGGAUGAAAGCAGGGGACCGCAAGGCCUUGCGCGGACGGAGCGGCCGAUGGCAGAUUAGGUAGUUGGUGGGAUAAAAGCUUACCAAGCCGACGAUCUGUAGCUGGUCUGAGAGGAUGAUCAGCCACACUGGGACUGAGACACGGCCCAGACUCCUACGGGAGGCAGCAGUGGGGAAUUUUGGACAAUGGGCGCAAGCCUGAUCCAGCCAUGCCGCGUGCAGGAUGAAGGCCUUCGGGUUGUAAACUGCUUUUGUACGGAACGAAAAGCCUUCUUUUAAUACAGGAGGGUCAUGACGGUACCGUAAGAAUAAGCACCGGCUAACUACGUG
This 482-nucleotide ribosomal RNA is filed under the name uncultured bacterium. RNAcentral describes it as "partial 16S ribosomal RNA". It matches the Rfam family "Bacterial small subunit ribosomal RNA", at positions 30 to 507 of the family's 1533-position model. The record is from RNAcentral.